UAAUUGAUGCCUUUAAUACUUACUGUUUAC
Molecule: non-coding RNA, 30 nt
Filed under: Rattus norvegicus (Norway rat)
Lineage: Eukaryota; Metazoa; Chordata; Mammalia; Rodentia; Muridae
Source: RNAcentral